This 106-nucleotide small nuclear RNA is filed under the name Salvator merianae (Argentine black and white tegu). The record is from RNAcentral. Lineage: Eukaryota; Metazoa; Chordata; Lepidosauria; Squamata; Teiidae.
GUGCUCGCUUCGGCAGCAUAUAUACUAAAAUUGGAAUGAUACAGAAAAGAUUAGCAUGGCCCCUGUGUAAGCAUGAUAGGCAAAUCCUGAAGCGUUCCAUUUUUUU